This 416-nucleotide ribosomal RNA is filed under the name uncultured Blautia sp. RNAcentral describes it as "bacterial SSU rRNA". It matches the Rfam family "Bacterial small subunit ribosomal RNA", at positions 349 to 782 of the family's 1533-position model. Lineage: Bacteria; Bacillati; Bacillota; Clostridia; Lachnospirales; Lachnospiraceae. The record is from RNAcentral.
CAGCAGUGGGGAAUAUUGCACAAUGGGGGAAACCCUGAUGCAGCGACGCCGCGUGAAGGAAGAAGUAUCUCGGUAUGUAAACUUCUAUCAGCAGGGAAGAUAGUGACGGUACCUGACUAAGAAGCCCCGGCUAACUACGUGCCAGCAGCCGCGGUAAUACGUAGGGGGCAAGCGUUAUCCGGAUUUACUGGGUGUAAAGGGAGCGUAGACGGAGUGGCAAGUCUGAUGUGAAAACCCGGGGCUCAACCCCGGGACUGCAUUGGAAACUGUCAAUCUAGAGUACCGGAGAGGUAAGCGGAAUUCCUAGUGUAGCGGUGAAAUGCGUAGAUAUUAGGAGGAACACCAGUGGCGAAGGCGGCUUACUGGACGGUAACUGACGUUGAGGCUCGAAAGCGUGGGGAGCAAACAGGAUUAGA